CCGGCGGCGAUGCCGUUCGUGCGCGCGGACGGACGCGCACCGGCCGUCGUGCCCGCCGCGCUCGCGCGCUGGCUCACGGGAUUCGCGAGCUCCGCGGGGGUGGGCCAGCGCGCGCAGCGCAAUCGCGCUGGGUGGGUCGAUCGGGGGCCCCUUGCCUGCUCCCCGCCAUGCGCCAUGUCGCCGUCAACGUACCGCUCAUGGGUUUCGUGCCCGGCCCAGUUUCGCAGCGCUCGCUUGCGACACGCGCUCUGUGAUCUCAGCCACUCCAUCCGGAUAUGGACACCCCCAGCGCUCGUCCGCUCACCUGCCCCUCCCAGCCUCGGGUAUUUGGGUAACCGCUACUACUUGUCAGGACCAUGCAAGCAAAACUGGAUUGGUUCAAGAUGGAUGAACCGCUGUUGAUAUCGAGAGCAGGCUUUGCCGUGAAUAUAUAUGGUUAGACGACGACGCUGCGAAGCUAUCUAUAAUAUGCAUCCACCGUUCGACCCUGCCAUAUCACUUCACCCCAUACUGUCACGCCAAAGCCGGCACCACCCCCAACCUACCACGUCUCCCCGCCCGCGCCCGCGCCAGCUCCGGCUUUGCCCAGGCACGUCCGUCGACACAAUUCCGAUAGUCCAGCCAGCCAGCCAUUCAUCCGCUGCGAUCUCUCUCCCUUAUUAGUACGCCCCCACCCUCUCCCUCUCCUGCCCACAGUCCCACUCCCACGACACCAACAGCUGCGCCAACAGCAACAGCCCAGCUCCCCACUACCAGACGUACCACGUACAGAGCUUAGCACCACCCAUGGCCGCGGAGGAGCCCAAGAAGGUGGAGGUGGAGGCGGCGCCGGAGCCGGAGCCCGCACCCCCGGCGGCGGAGCCUGAGGCCCCCGCCAAGGACGUCACCGAGGAGAAGGCCGUCAUCCCCGCGCCCGCGNNNNNN
Molecule: long non-coding RNA, 924 nt
Filed under: Hordeum vulgare
Lineage: Eukaryota; Viridiplantae; Streptophyta; Magnoliopsida; Poales; Poaceae
Description: long non-coding RNA (HVUL_LNC005258)
Source: RNAcentral